Molecule: ribosomal RNA, 503 nt
Filed under: uncultured bacterium
Lineage: Bacteria
Description: bacterial SSU rRNA
Rfam family: Bacterial small subunit ribosomal RNA
Source: RNAcentral
GAUGAACGCUGGCGGCGUGCCUAACACAUGCAAGUCGAGCGUGAACCCUUAGAAUGAAACUUCGGUCGAAUGAAGAGGGGGAAAGCGGCGGACGGGUGAGUAACGCGUAGGCAACCUGCCCCGUACAGAGGGAUAGCCUCGGGAAACCGGGAUUAAAACCUCAUAAUACCAUGGUAUCACAUGAUGCAAUGGUCAAAGAUUUAUCGGUAUGGGAUGGGCCUGCGUCUGAUUAGCUGGUUGGUGGGGUAACGGCCUACCAAGGCAACGAUCAGUAGCCGACCUGAGAGGGUAAUCGGCCACAUUGGAACUGAGACACGGUCCAAACUCCUACGGGAGGCAGCAGUGGGGAAUAUUGCACAAUGGGCGAAAGCCUGAUGCAGCAACGCCGCGUGAGCGAAGAAGGUUUUCGGAUCGUAAAACUCUGUUGUUGGAGAAGAAUGUAUCUGAUAGUAACUGAUCAGGUAGUGACGGUAUCCAACCAGAAAGCCACGGCUAACUACGUG